UACGUAGGGCGCAAGCGUUAUCCGGAAUUAUUGGGCGUAAAGAGCUCGUAGGCGGUUUGUCGCGUCUGCCGUGAAAGUCCGGGGCUCAACUCCGGAUCUGCGGUGGGUACGGGCAGACUAGAGUGAUGUAGGGGAGACUGGAAUUCCUGGUGUAGCGGUGAAAUGCGCAGAUAUCAGGAGGAACACCGAUGGCGAAGGCAGGUCUCUGGGCAUUAACUGACGCUGAGGAGCGAAAGCUAGGGGAGCGAACAGG
This 253-nucleotide ribosomal RNA is filed under the name uncultured bacterium. RNAcentral describes it as "partial 16S ribosomal RNA". It matches the Rfam family "Bacterial small subunit ribosomal RNA", at positions 524 to 776 of the family's 1533-position model. The record is from RNAcentral.